ACAGAAGGGAGCUUGCUCCCGGAUGUUAGCGGCGGACGGGUGAGUAACACGUGGGUAACCUGCCUGUAAGACUGGGAUAACUCCGGGAAACCGGAGCUAAUACCGGAUAGUUCCUUGAACCGCAUGGUUCAAGGAUGAAAGACGGUUUCGGCUGUCACUUACAGAUGGACCCGCGGCGCAUUAGCUAGUUGGUGGGGUAAUGNGCUCACCAAGGCGACGAUGCGUAGCCGACCUGANAGGGUGAUCGGCCA
This 251-nucleotide ribosomal RNA is filed under the name Bacillus sp. DP_sed_216. Its description in RNAcentral is "partial 16S ribosomal RNA". It matches the Rfam family "Bacterial small subunit ribosomal RNA", at positions 69 to 310 of the family's 1533-position model. Lineage: Bacteria; Bacillati; Bacillota; Bacilli; Caryophanales; Bacillaceae. The record is from RNAcentral.